CCCGGUGUUGUAUUAACGGCUGCAGAGCUUAGUCUGUACUAAGGUAGCGUAAUCAUUAGCCUUUUAAUUUGAGGCGAGUAUGAAUGGGUUGACGUAUAAGUUUCUGUCUUUUCUAAAUAAAUUUAAUUUUAUUUUUAGGUGAAAAAGCCUAGUAUUUUUUUAAGGGACGAGAAGACCCUAUGAAGCUUUACUGUUAACUAAAGUUAAUCUAUGAUUAGUUUUUAGUUAGUGAUGGUUUAGCUGGGAGAGCAUAAUAUACAAAGUAUUUGAAUGUUUUUGAUCCAUUAAUUAAUGAAAAAAGAGAGCUACUCUAGGGAUAACAGCGUAAUUUACUCGGUGAGUUGGAAUCUAUGAGUGA
RNAcentral lists this ribosomal RNA (358 nucleotides) under Divaricella irpex. RNAcentral's name for it is "partial 16S ribosomal RNA". It matches the Rfam family "Archaeal large subunit ribosomal RNA", at positions 1954 to 2584 of the family's 2987-position model. The record is from RNAcentral. Lineage: Eukaryota; Metazoa; Mollusca; Bivalvia; Lucinida; Lucinidae.